AUGUGGCCGGAGAGCCCGCUUCUCUGGGACGCCGGCGCUGCCGUGCUCACCGGAUGCGUCGCCAUGGCGGUGCUCCGCUUCUGGGAGGAGGUCGGCAACCGCGCCCUCUUGGACCAAAAACUCUGCAGGAAGCUGGUGCACGUCAGUGUUGGGCUGGUAUAUUUCCUUAUGUGGCCUUUGUUCAGUGCAGAUGAUGUCUAUGCUCCAUUUCUCGCUUCAAUUGUCAUUGCGCUCAAUAUCAUAAAGGUAACCUUGAUUGGAUCUGGUGUAGUUAAAGAUGACGGCGUGGUUAACUCGAUGACAAGAAAUGGAGACUACAGAGAGCUUCUCAAAGGUCCACUCUAUUACGCGUGUACUAUAACACUCACUACCCUAAUCUUUUGGAGGACGUCUCCCAUUUCCAUCGCUGUGAUUUGCAACUUUUUCAUGUGCUACUUCCACCUUUUCGGGUUCGUGGAGCAGAGCUGGACCAUGGUCGCUGCCUUCGGCAUCACGUCGCUUGCAGCGGCAAUUGUCGAGUCACUUCCUGUCAGCACGCUCUUGGACGAUAACCUGACGACUUCGAUCGCCUCUGCGCUCGUUGGCGGCCUGGUUUUCUACUAUGUUGGUGGUGGUGGCGGCGGCGACGGGAGCAGCAUCUUGGCGACUGCUGCGAUGGUCUUUGCAGGCAGUAGCUAG
RNAcentral lists this ribosomal RNA (678 nucleotides) under Triticum aestivum (bread wheat). Its description in RNAcentral is "partial small subunit ribosomal RNA". Lineage: Eukaryota; Viridiplantae; Streptophyta; Magnoliopsida; Poales; Poaceae. The record is from RNAcentral.